This 399-nucleotide ribosomal RNA is filed under the name uncultured bacterium. RNAcentral describes it as "bacterial SSU rRNA". It matches the Rfam family "Bacterial small subunit ribosomal RNA", at positions 358 to 774 of the family's 1533-position model. The record is from RNAcentral.
GGAAUAUUGCACAAUGGGGGAAACCCUGAUGCAGCGACGCCGCGUGAGUGAUGAAGUAUUUCGGUACGUAAAGCUCUAUCAGCAGGGAAGAAGACGACGGUACCUGACUAAGAAGCCCCGGCUAACUACGUGCCAGCAGCCGCGGUAAUACGUAGGGGGCAAGCGUUAUCCGGAUUUACUGGGUGUAAAGGGAGCGUAGACGGCAGCGCAAGUCUGAAGUGAAAUGCCGGGGCUCAACCCCGGAAUUGCUUUGGAAACUGUGCAGCUAGAGUAUCGGAGGGGUAAGCGGAAUUCCUAGUGUAGCGGUGAAAUGCGUAGAUAUUAGGAGGAACACCGGUGGCGAAGGCGGCUUACUGGACGAUAACUGACGUUGAGGCUCGAAAGCGUGGGGAGCAAACA